RNAcentral lists this ribosomal RNA (446 nucleotides) under uncultured bacterium. RNAcentral's name for it is "partial 16S ribosomal RNA". It matches the Rfam family "Bacterial small subunit ribosomal RNA", at positions 338 to 795 of the family's 1533-position model. The record is from RNAcentral.
CCUACGGGUGGCAGCAGUAGGGAAUUUUCGGCAAUGGCGGGAACGCUGACCGAGCAACGCCGCGUGAACGAAGAAGUUAUUCGUAAUGUAAAGUCCUUUUAACAGGGAAGAAAGAGAAAUUUGACGGUACCGGAAGAAUAAGCUCCGGCGAACUACGUGCCAGCAGCCGCGGUAAUACGUAGGAAGCGAGCGUUAUCCGGAAUUAUUGGGCGUAAAGGGUGCGUAGAUGGCGUAGUAAGUCUUUUGUAAAAAUGCGGGGCUCAACCCAGUAGGGCAAAAGAUACUGAAAAGCUAGAGUAUGACAGAGGCAAGUGGAACUACAUGUGUAGCGGUAAAAUGCAUAAAUAUAUGUAAGAACACCAGUGGCGAAGGCGGCUUGCUGGGUCGAUACUGACAUUGAGGCACGAAAGCGUGGGGAGCAAACAGGAUUAGAUACCCCAGUAGUC